AAGGCGGAAGUUACUGGAAAUGAGUUAAGGUACCCCGGGUUUAGUGCCACCUGCUGGCGGGCCGAGGAAUAGCUCUCACCGUAACUGAAAGGAAAAGUUUUCAAAACCAUGCUAGGGGCUUAAGAGAGCAGGAGCGAGUUCGCCCUCGACUCUUGUGACUUCCUCGGUGGGGGUGGGAGAGAGCAGGGGGGUUGAGAUACAGCCUUCUAUAAAGUGGACUGGCCUCAAACUUGCUAUGUGGUGGAGGGCGGUCUUGAACUCCUGAUCCUUCUGCCUCCUCCUUAGCCCUAGGAUUACCGGUGUGUGCCAAACACCUAGAUCUUGAUUGUGUUUUCUGAAACGAGGGUCUCAUUUGGUAGCCGGGCUGGCCUGGAACUCACUCCUCAGUCCAGACUGGCCCCGAACUCAUGGCAAUCCUGCUGCCUUAGCCUCCGGGGCUCUGGGAUUACAGGCUCAUUUGACUAUUUGUGUACCGUGGGUAGCGUGACACUUCUUUUGACUUGAUCGCAGCCUUUAGCGGGCUAAUCUGCUCUCCCCAUCACUUAUGUCACCACGCUGCCUGUUGGAGAACUCGAAGUUUGUGACCCAUGAGCCUGAGCCUUCCUUUCCACUCCUUCUUGGUCAAGAAUGGCUUGUGGAUCACGUGGGAGAUCUCCCGGGCUUCUCCAGCGCUGUGCCUGCCCUCCUGAUGCCAUGCUCCCCUCCAUGAAGAAGAUGGACUCGGCCUCUGACCCUGCAAGCAAGUCCUCAGUUAAAUGUCUCCCUGACCAUGGUGUCUUUGGGUUUUUUUCAGACUUAAAAAGGUUAGGAGAGCUGGGCAGUGGUGGCAAAAGCCUUUAAUCCCAGUGCUCCGGAGACAGAGGCAGGCAGAUCUCUGUGAGUUCCAGGCUGGCUUGGUCUGUGGAGUGAGUUCAAGACAGCCAGGGUAAUUAUACAGAGAAACCCUGUCACAAAGCAAAACAAAACCAGACAGCAGCAACAACAACAUGGUUAGGAGAGCUAUAGUCUAUGCCUUCAAGGGAAUAGCAGAAAAUAAGGACCAGGGCACAUAGAAUUUCCCAGACAGACUAUUGAGACUCAGUCCACCCCUUGUGCCAUUUCACAACCACACACACACCUGGGGAUGAUUCUCCCUCCUUCUCCCCCCCCCCCCCCAGCAAGGAUAGAAUCCAAGGUCUUGCAAAUUCUACACAGGUGCCCAAAUCUACACAUUGAGCUACCUCACCAGUCCUUUUCUGUUUGGUUGUUUUGAGAUAGAGUCUCUAUUUGUAGCCCAGGCUAGCUUUAACCUCUUAGCCUCUUAGUGUUGCGAUGAUAGGCAUGUACCUGCUCUAUUGUCAUCUUGAGAGGAGUGGGCCACUUUGGCUGGGCUCCCACAGAGCUCUGAAACCUGUUUCCUCCUGUAACUAUUAGGGUCACACAGAGUUCCUGGGAAGCCAGAGUUUGUUCAGAUCCACAGGGUGAGCAUUCAUUUUGGCCUUUGACAAACCUGUCAGGAAGGAAGCAGCCAUGGCUAGCGUAAGGCGUCUUUCGAUAGCUGGCCUUGUCCUUUUGUCCUUGACAGUCUGCACGGGCCAGUCUGUACUCUGUUCCUGAGAUUCUGGUCAUUCACCUAGCAAGACAGGAACCUGAGUAUCCAGGCUAGACCCUUAGACAAGAUGUCCACCCAUGGGCUAGUGGCCUUGGGUGCUGUAAGAAAGCAGGCUGAGCUAGCCAGUAGGCAGCAGUCCUCCAUGGCCUCUGCGUCAGGUUCUGCCUCUGAGUUCCUGCCCUGACUUUCUUUGAUGAUGGACUGUGAUACGGAAGCCUAAGCAAAAUAAACCCUUUCUUUUCUCCAA
Molecule: long non-coding RNA, 1838 nt
Organism: Meriones unguiculatus (Mongolian gerbil)
Lineage: Eukaryota; Metazoa; Chordata; Mammalia; Rodentia; Muridae
Exons: 2
Source: RefSeq, a predicted model, not a curated record